This 85-nucleotide transfer RNA is filed under the name Felis catus (domestic cat). It matches the Rfam family "tRNA". Rfam says of the family: Transfer RNA (tRNA) molecules are approximately 80 nucleotides in length. Their secondary structure includes four short double-helical elements and three loops (D, anti-codon, and T loops). Further hydrogen bonds mediate the characteristic L-shaped molecular structure. tRNAs have two regions of fundamental functional importance: the anti-codon, which is responsible for specific mRNA codon recognition, and the 3' end, to which the tRNAs corresponding amino acid is attached (by aminoacyl-tRNA synthetases). tRNAs cope with the degeneracy of the genetic code in two manners: having more than one tRNA (with a specific anti-codon) for a particular amino acid; and 'wobble' base-pairing, i.e. permitting non-standard base-pairing at the 3rd anti-codon position. Lineage: Eukaryota; Metazoa; Chordata; Mammalia; Carnivora; Felidae. The record is from Rfam by way of RNAcentral.
GCCUGGCUGGCUCAGUCGUUUGAGCGUCCGACUUCAGCUCAGAUCAUGAUCUCAUGGUGUGUGAGUUCGAGCCCCGCGUUGGGCU